Molecule: ribosomal RNA, 449 nt
Filed under: uncultured bacterium
Lineage: Bacteria
Description: bacterial SSU rRNA
Rfam family: Bacterial small subunit ribosomal RNA
Source: RNAcentral
AGAGUUUGAUCCUGGCUCAGGACGAACGCUGGCGGCGUGCCUAACACAUGCAAGUCGAACGGAGAAUUUCAAAGAGCUUGCUUAGAGAAAUUUUUAGUGGCGGACGGGUGAGUAACGCGUGGGUAACCUACCCAUAAACCCGGGACAACCCUUGGAAACGAGGGCUAAUACCGGAUAAUCUUUUGGCUUGGCAUCAAGCUAAAAGAAAAGGUGGCCUCUGAAGAUGCUACCGAUUAUGGAUGGACCCGCGUCUGAUUAGCUAGUUGGUGGGGUAAAGGCCUACCAAGGCGACGAUCAGUAGCCGGCCUGAGAGGGUGAACGGCCACACUGGGACUGAGACACGGCCCAGACUCCUACGGGAGGCAGCAGUGGGGAAUCUUCCGCAAUGGACGAAAGUCUGACGGAGCAACGCCGCGUGUAUGAUGAAGAUCUUCGGAUUGUAAAGUACU